UGCAGUCGAGCGAACAGAUAAGGAGCUUGCUCCUUUGACGUUAGCGGCGGACGGGUGAGUAACACGUGGGUAACCUACCUAUAAGACUGGAAUAACUCCGGGAAACCGGGGCUAAUGCCGGAUAACAUUUAGAACCGCAUGGUUCUAAAGUGAAAGAUGGUUUUGCUAUCACUUAUAGAUGGACCCGCGCCGUAUUAGCUAGUUGGUAAGGUAACGGCUUACCAAGGCAACGAUACGUAGCCGACCUGAGAGGGUGAUCGGCCACACUGGAACUGAGACACGGUCCAGACUCCUACGGGAGGCAGCAGUAGGGAAUCUUCCGCAAUGGGCGAAAGCCUGACGGAGCAACGCCGCGUGGAGGUGAUGAAGGUCUUCGGAAUCCGUAAAACUCCUGUUAUUAGGGAAGAACAAAUGUGUAAGGUAACUAUGCACGUCUUGACGGUACCUUAAUCCAGAAAGGCCACGGCUAACUACGUGCCAGCAGCCGCGGUAAUACGUAGGUGGCAAGCGUUAUCCGGGAAUUAUUGGGCGUAAAGCGCGCGUAGGCGGUUUCUUAAGUCUGAUGUGAAAGCCCACGGCUCAACCCGUGGAGGGUCAUUGGAAACUGGGAAACUUGAGUGCAGAAGAGGAAAGUGGAAUUCCAUGUGUAGCGGUGAAAUGCGCAGAGAUAUGGAGGAACACCAGUGGCGAAGGCGACUUUCUGGUCUGUAACUGACGCUGAUGUGCGAAAGCGUGGGGAUCAAACAGGAUUAGAUACCCUGGUAGUCCACGCCGUAAACGAUGAGUGCUAAGUGUUAGGGGGUUUCCGCCCCUUAGUGCUGCAGCUAACGCAUUAAGCACUCCGCCUGGGGAGUACGACCGCAAGGUUGAAACUCAAAGGAAUUGACGGGGACCCGCACAAGCGGUGGAGCAUGUGGUUUAAUUCGAAGCAACGCGAAGAACCUUACCAAAUCUUGACAUCCUUUGACAACUCUAGAGAUAGAGCCUUCCCCUUCGGGGGACAAAGUGACAGGUGGUGCAUGGUUGUCGUCAGCUCGUGUCGUGAGAUGUUGGGUUAAGUCCCGCAACGAGCGCAACCCUUAAACUUAGUUGCCAGCAUUUAGUUGGGCACUCUAAGUUGACUGCCGGUGACAAACCGGAGGAAGGUGGGGAUGACGUCAAAUCAUCAUGCCCCUUAUGAUUUGGGCUACACACGUGCUACAAUGGACAAUACAAAGGGCAGCUAAACCGCGAGGUCAUGCAAAUCCCAUAAAGUUGUUCUCAGUUCGGAUUGUAGUCUGCAACUCGACUACAUGAAGCUGGAAUCGCUAGUAAUCGUAGAUCAGCAUGCUACGGUGAAUACGUUCCCGGGUCUUGUACACACCGCCCGUCACACCACGAGAGUUUGUAACACCCGAAGCCGGUGGAGUAACCAUUUAUGGAGCUAG
Molecule: ribosomal RNA, 1427 nt
Filed under: Staphylococcus cohnii
Lineage: Bacteria; Bacillati; Bacillota; Bacilli; Caryophanales; Staphylococcaceae
Description: bacterial SSU rRNA
Rfam family: Bacterial small subunit ribosomal RNA
Source: RNAcentral